This 814-nucleotide ribosomal RNA is filed under the name uncultured bacterium. RNAcentral's name for it is "bacterial SSU rRNA". It matches the Rfam family "Bacterial small subunit ribosomal RNA", at positions 57 to 891 of the family's 1533-position model. The record is from RNAcentral.
GCAGUCGAACGGUCCUUCCCGCAAGGGAAGGAUAGUGGCGAACGGGUGAGUAACGCGUAAGUAACCUGUCCCCAAGUAGGGAAUAACUCUGAGAAAUUAGAGCUAAUACCAUAUGUGGUUCUUCACUACAAGGUGAAGGACUAAAGCUUUAGGGCGCUUAGGGAGGGGCUUGCGUCCGAUUAGCUAGUUGGUAGGGUAAUGGUCUACCAAGGCGAUGAUCGGUAGCUGGUUUGAGAGGACAUUCAGCCACACUGGGAUUGAGAUACGGCCCAGACUCCUACGGGAGGCAGCAGCAAGGAAUUUUGUGCAAUGGGCGAAAGCCUGACACAGCGACGCCGUGUGGGGGAUGAAGGCCUUCGGGUUGUAAACCCCUUUUCUCAGGGAAGAAUAAUGACGGUACCUGAGGAAUAAGUCGUGGCUAACUACGUGCCAGCAGCCGCGGUAAUACGUAGGCGGCAAGCGUUAUCCGGAUUUAUUGGGCGUAAAGAGGGCGUAGGCGGUUUUUCAAGUCGAUUGUAAAAUCUCCCGGCUUAACUGGGAGGGGCCAGUCGAUACUGUUAGACUAGAGGGCAGCAGGGGGAGGUGGAAUUCCCGGUGUAGUGGUGAAAUGUGUAGAUAUCGGGAGGAACACCAGUGGCGAAGGCGGCCUCCUAGGCUGUUUCUAACGCUGAGGCCCGAAAGCGUGGGGAGCAAACAGGAUCAGAUACCCUGGUAGUCCACGCUGUAAUCGAUGGACACUAGGUAUAGGGAGUAUCGACCCUCUCUGUGCCGAAGCUAACGCAUUAAGUGUCCCGCCUGGGGAGUACGGCCGCAA